Molecule: transfer RNA, 85 nt
Filed under: Enterobacter ludwigii
Lineage: Bacteria; Pseudomonadati; Pseudomonadota; Gammaproteobacteria; Enterobacterales; Enterobacteriaceae
Also listed under: 14 other names
Description: tRNA-Cys
Rfam family: tRNA
About the family: Transfer RNA (tRNA) molecules are approximately 80 nucleotides in length.
Source: RNAcentral
GCUAGGGUUGCUGAGUGGCCAAAGGCAGCGGAUUGCAAAUCCGCCGGGUAUCCCUUCGUGAGUUCGAAUCUCACUCCUAGCUCCA